This 282-nucleotide long non-coding RNA is filed under the name Danio rerio (zebrafish). RNAcentral's name for it is "lncRNA si:dkeyp-9a1.2 (ENSDARG00000098050.3)". Lineage: Eukaryota; Metazoa; Chordata; Actinopteri; Cypriniformes; Danionidae. The record is from RNAcentral.
CUUAAGUCAAGAACCAAAUGAAGCACCAGAGUACAGAUUAUGGAGGUAUCUGAAGUUGAACUAACUGGAAGCAGGGAACCAUACUAAUAAAGUUCCUUAAGGUUCCUUGUAAAGAUUAACCCAGGGAAGGAUCGAAAGUGGAGAAGACCAGAUCAAGAAAGACUACAUCAAGAUCUGCGGUCAGUUCAAAGGAUGUUUUGCAUUGGACUGUUUUUUUUGGCUUUGACCCUUGCUUGCCCCUGACCUCACUCUUGGACUGCCCUGUUGGAUUUUCAGUUUAUU